RNAcentral lists this transfer RNA (70 nucleotides) under Challia fletcheri. RNAcentral describes it as "tRNA-Tyr". Lineage: Eukaryota; Metazoa; Arthropoda; Insecta; Dermaptera; Pygidicranidae. The record is from RNAcentral.
AGUAGGGUGGCUGAAUUAGGCUAUAGAUUGUAAAUUUAUAUAUGAGCAUUAUUAUUAAACUCUCUUACUA